GGCUCAGAGAGCCUCUCGGCUUCAGACCAUGGAGGGUGUCGCAUUGAGAUGGAGAGCUGCAACAGUUGUGCUGCAAGGACUGCUGGCGAUGACCUUUCUUAUUUCAGGAAUUUCUGCCUUGAAGUGUCAUAGCUCCAGCACCGUGAAACAUACCACUCCACGCAAGGGCAACACCACGUCAAAUACUUACACAGGAGGUGGCAUUAGAAACUGCUCCCAUGCUGAAAAUGUUUGCACAGAUGCACAACUUACAUUGACUAUUGAUAAAGAGGUUUUGAUAAAAGCUACAAAGGCUGCACCAGCAAAGACCUUAUGGAUGAAACAAAAUCAAUCACCUCUGGUGACCGACACUUUGCCAUCCAGUUCGACCAGAGCUACUGUUUCCGUGACCUUUGCAAUGCGAAAACGAGGGUAGUUUCCAAGACCCCUAUCAAGGACAAAGUAACAGGCUCCAACCAGUGUUACUCGGGCUUUGGUUGGGGCACCAGUGGAAGCAUCAAGGAGACUAUGGAAUGCGGCAAAGACUACGACCGGUGUUACCAAGGCAGCAUGAACAUUACUGUUGAAAUAGAUGG
Podarcis muralis (Common wall lizard) is the source of this 575-nucleotide non-coding RNA. The record is from RefSeq and is a predicted model, not a curated record. NCBI's taxonomy places the organism in Eukaryota, Metazoa, Chordata, Lepidosauria, Squamata, Lacertidae.